AACGAACGCUGGCGGCAUGCCUAACACAUGCAAGUCGAACGAGACCUUCGGGUCUAGUGGCGCACGGGUGCGUAACGCGUGGGAACCUGCCCUUAGGUCCGGAAUAACUCCCCGAAAGGGGUGCUAAUACCGGAUAAUGUCUUCGGACCAAAGAUUUAUCGCCUUUGGAUGGGCCCGCGUUGGAUUAGCUAGUUGGUAGGGUAAAAGCCUACCAAGGCGACGAUCCAUAGCUGGUCUGAGAGGAUGAUCAGCCACACUGGGACUGAGACACGGCCCAGACUCCGACGGGAGGCAGCAGUGGGGAAUAUUGGACAAUGGGCGAAAGCCUGAUCCAGCAAUGCCGCGUGAGUGAUGAAGGCCUUAGGGUUGUAAAGCUCUUUUACCCGGGAUGAUAAUGACAGUACCGGGAGAAUAAGCUCCGGCUAACUCCGUG
Molecule: ribosomal RNA, 433 nt
Filed under: uncultured bacterium
Lineage: Bacteria
Description: partial 16S ribosomal RNA
Rfam family: Bacterial small subunit ribosomal RNA
Source: RNAcentral